This is a long non-coding RNA of Haemorhous mexicanus (house finch), 1385 nucleotides long. RefSeq lists it as uncharacterized. NCBI's taxonomy places the organism in Eukaryota, Metazoa, Chordata, Aves, Passeriformes, Fringillidae. The record is from RefSeq and is a predicted model, not a curated record. The transcript is spliced from 2 exons.
UGAAGGAAGGCUUGGGGCCACCUUCUUCUAUGUCAAAGUGUAAUUUUUUUUUUUUUAAGGAGAAACUAGCUAUUUAGAAUUAAUCUAGCUAUCUAUUUACAAUUAAUCUCUUUAGUAGCAUUUUAUUGUUAGUAUUUAGGAUUUGCUUAUGUAGAAUUUAUCUAUUAGUAUCUACAAUCUCCUAAUAGUUAGAACUUAGCUAUUUUGAAUUAUCUAUAGAAUCUCUCUAUUUUGGAUUUAUUUAUUUAUAGAAUUAGUAUCUAGAUAGUUUUUUACCAUACUUAACUGAGAUUACUUUAUAAAAAUAGAUGAUGGCUCUCAAGGGUCAUUAAGAACCAGAUGUAACUGGGCUCAGCUAACGAGGGGCUCUCCAGAACUCAGGCUGUUUCUACUCCUCUAAUGAACAGGCAGCUGCUAUUCUCAGAGCUGGCAGCUGACUGCUGUUAGGAAAGAAGGUGCUGGCAGCCUAGGUUGGCAAUUGGUGACUGAAUUGUCAGGGGCUCAGUGGAAAAGAAAAGCAACAGGGGUGCAUACCCAGAAAAACCCAGCAGCUGACCCCUGGUGAUUGAUGACUUUUGGAUGGGAGAAAGCGACUGACAUCCAGCAACUGGUCAAGAUAAGAGCUGUAUGAUGACUGUGCCCCAGAAGAAGCAGUUGCUGCAGAUCGACUGCUGCAUGGUGCUGUGACUGCAAGAAGGCCUGUUAGACUUCAUGCCCUAGCUUUUAUUUUACACACCCUCCAUGACAAUACAAAUGACUCUCUUGCCCAGUUUUAUCUGGCCUUCUCUCCCUGCGCAGUGGUUAGGAAAGGAAGGCAGGGAGAAUAACUGCGAGGUGCUCCUGCCUCUCAGCUGUGCUUAGCCUGAUUUCGGCGCUGAGCACCGGGCAGGCAGCAGAGGCCGUGGCUGCUGCUGUGGGCCCAGUGCAGCAGGAGCAGUCCGGCUGAACCGCAGCGGGGCAGCGGCCGGGUAAAGCCACCACUGAGGGCCAGGAUUCCCCGAAGGGACGGGUUCCUUCCAAAGCAGCGGCCACCGCCUCAGACACGGCUCCUGCCAGCGCCACCUGCUGCUCCGAGCCGUCUGCUGCAGCUCAACCAGCCCGACCUUCCGCCGUGAAAACCAAUUACUCUCUGACAAACGCACCAAAACACGGCAAUAAAAGCUAAGUCUGCUUCUCUUGUAGUAUUUUGCCUUAAGCUCUCUCCAGUAAUAACCCUUGGAGGAGCUGAGUAGUACACUGUAGUUCACUUGCACAAAUACACUUGUGUAUGCACACAUGGAGAGAAGAUUGGUGGCUGACGGCUUGAACUAGCCAACACAGAAAAGAAUAUGCAUUUUGCAUGUAUGAAGUAAUUCAUGCCAGUGAAAAUAAAAGGUAAAAGGCAA